This 723-nucleotide ribosomal RNA is filed under the name Triticum aestivum (bread wheat). RNAcentral describes it as "partial small subunit ribosomal RNA". The record is from RNAcentral. Lineage: Eukaryota; Viridiplantae; Streptophyta; Magnoliopsida; Poales; Poaceae.
AUGGGGUUUAUUGCGUACCAAAAGAUAUCGGCUGCAAUGCUGGUGCUCACCUAUGGCAUACCCGCGGACUAUAUGGGCGAGUAUCUUCACAUUGGACAAGAUAUAACCACGGCGUCCAUUCGUAGGUUUGCAAAAUUGGUAAUCCGGUUGUAUGGUGAUGAGUAUCUUCGGGCACCCAACGAGGAAGAUACAAAGAGAUUGAUGGAGAUGAAUGAAAAAAGGGGAUGGCCGGGGAUACUUGGUAGUCUUGAUUGCAUGCAUUGGAAAUGGAAAAAUUGUCCAAAGGCAUGGCAAGGAAUGUAUUGCAGUAAAAGCCGUGAUGCUACCAUUGUGCUUGAGGUUGUGGCAUCGGAGGACACAUGGAUUUGGCAUGCAUUUUUUGGUUUGCCGGGAACACUCAAUGAUAUCAAUGUGCUCAAUAGAUCUCCUUUGUUCAAAAGAUUAGUUUCUGGGGAUGCUCCAACUUGCAACUACAAAAUAAUGGACAAUGAGUACUCAAUGGGAUACUAUCUCACCGAUGGAAUUUACCACGAUUGGGCAACUCUUGUGAAGUCCAUCAAGGAGAAAAAUGGGGUGCCAUUAACCAGAAAAGAGGCUCAUUUCACCAAGGCACAAGAGGCAGCCCACAAGGAUAUUGAGAGAGCUUUCGGUGUUUUGCAAGCAAGAUUUUCCAUAAUUCGGGGUCCAGCUCGUUUUUGGGACAAAAAAAACCUUGGAGAACAU